This is a small nuclear RNA of Neogale vison (American mink), 150 nucleotides long. Its record names the gene U4. It matches the Rfam family "U4 spliceosomal RNA". Rfam says of the family: U4 small nuclear RNA (U4 snRNA) is a component of the major U2-dependent spliceosome. The structure of U4 snRNA from yeast and human has been reported. Lineage: Eukaryota; Metazoa; Chordata; Mammalia; Carnivora; Mustelidae. The record is from Ensembl.
AGCUUUGCACAGUGGCAGUAUCGUAGCCAAUGAGGUUUAUCCGAGGUGCGAUUAUUGCUAAUUGGAAGGUUCAUUGGAGCACAGUUUGGUAUCAGCCUGCCUGAGAUCAUACACGUACUGGCUAUAUGAGUGAGGUAAAGAUAAAAAUCU